CAGUCGCCACGGGAAAACGGAGGGUGCAAGCGUUAUCCGGAUUUAUUGGGUUUAAAGGGUCCGUAGGCGGAUCUGUAAGUCAGUGGUGAAAUCUCACAGCUUAACUGUGAAACUGCCAUUGAUACUGCAGGUCUUGAGUAAAUUUGAAGUGGCUGGAAUAAGUAGUGUAGCGGUGAAAUGCAUAGAUAUUACUUAGAACACCAAUUGCGAAGGCAGGUCACUAAGAUUUAACUGACGCUGAUGGACGAAAGCGUGGGGAGCGAACAGGAUUAGAUACCCGAGUAGUCCCUGUCUCUUAUAC
Molecule: ribosomal RNA, 301 nt
Filed under: uncultured bacterium
Lineage: Bacteria
Description: partial 16S ribosomal RNA
Rfam family: Bacterial small subunit ribosomal RNA
Source: RNAcentral